UGAUACUGUAUGUUGUCUGUUUGGCAUGAAUUACGAUUUGCUUGUUUAAAUGUGAAUUGAUGAUGCUUAUUGAGGAAAAGGAAAAUGAAAGAUUGUGUAGACUGAUAAUUGUAUGAUGGGGUCAGCCUGACUAGAUAUCCUGGGAGAUGGUGGACGGACCGGGUCCGUAGGGAACCCUACCGGGAUUGUGGUCUCACAUGCCGGAUGGGGUAUGGAGAUCUUAUGGUUUUGGCGCCCAUACCGGACGGCGUAUGGGGACGGCCCGUUUCACCCUCAUACCGGACGGGGUAUUGAGGUUUAUGGUUUUGGCGCCCAUACUGGACGGGGUAUGGGGACGGCCCGUUUCACCCUCAUACCGGACGGGGUAUUGAGGUUUAUGGUUUUGGCGCCCAUACCGGACGGGGUAUGGGGACGGCCCUGGAAACCGAUUAUGAAUGUUAAAGGUUAACGGGUAGCGGGACCCCUAUGGACCCCCAUGGAUACUAGUAGGCUGGUAAAUGAGAAAAGAAUAUGUUGUAUAAUGAUUGAAUUACAAAAUGCGUGAUAAGUGCUAUGUUUUACAGCUUAUGUUAUUCUAUGAUUGUGAUAAUGCUAUUGUUUUCUUAUAUUGCUUCAUGAAUUCCACCGAGGUAAGUGGAUGGUAAAGGUUUUAUCAGAAAUAAAAAGGAUUUGUUGUAAAUCAUGCUCCAUUGGUCUUUUGUGUUUUUCUACCCACCUUUACCUCCGUGACGGUGAGAUAUCGUGAUGUUCUUACUAGGCUAGUGUAGCUCACUCCUUAUUUAACCAUUUCAGAUCAGGAA
This 800-nucleotide long non-coding RNA is filed under the name Carica papaya (papaya). RNAcentral's name for it is "long non-coding RNA (CPAP_LNC009230)". The record is from RNAcentral. Lineage: Eukaryota; Viridiplantae; Streptophyta; Magnoliopsida; Brassicales; Caricaceae.